RNAcentral lists this long non-coding RNA (411 nucleotides) under Triticum aestivum (bread wheat). Its description in RNAcentral is "long non-coding RNA (TAES_LNC010561)". The record is from RNAcentral. Lineage: Eukaryota; Viridiplantae; Streptophyta; Magnoliopsida; Poales; Poaceae.
UAAAUAGUGUAUCAGAGUAUGAGGUAGCAAAUUGGGUGUUGGGUCCCCGCUUAGUGUACUAGUUUGCUAUCCUGCUAUCCUCAGUGUUAGAUGAUGAGAUUUGGAAGUAGAUGUUGUGUUUGUGUGUUAAGGGGGCCCUUUUAGACUUGUGGACUCAUGGUUUGAGAAGUUGCUUAGUAGUGUAUUAGCAGAGAGGAAGCUGAGAAUGCUACCAGCUGUUCCAAUGCUUUUCUCUUGCUAACCACCUGUGUAAGAACUUGUUUUCAUUCGCUAAUCUGAUGACUGCCCAGCCAUUGGCUCUUGGUUAAUUUCGCCUUAAAUUUGUCGUGGUUACUUCUUCUGUGUGCUACUGUGUGUAAUCUAUCUGCUUCGUUUGGCUUUUUGUAACUCGGUUGAAUUCUUAGCUGUGAC